UGGGCGAAAGCCUGAUCCAGCCAUGCCGCGUGUGUGAAGAAGGUCUUCGGAUUGUAAAGCACUUUAAGUUGGGAGGAAGGGCAGUAAGUUAAUACCUUGCUGUUUUGACGUUACCAACAGAAUAAGCACCGGCUAACUUCGUG
This 143-nucleotide ribosomal RNA is filed under the name uncultured bacterium. Its description in RNAcentral is "partial 16S ribosomal RNA". It matches the Rfam family "Bacterial small subunit ribosomal RNA", at positions 372 to 507 of the family's 1533-position model. The record is from RNAcentral.